Molecule: ribosomal RNA, 408 nt
Filed under: uncultured bacterium
Lineage: Bacteria
Description: partial 16S ribosomal RNA
Rfam family: Bacterial small subunit ribosomal RNA
Source: RNAcentral
AGUGAACGCUGGCGGCGUGCCUAAUACAUGCAAGUCGAACGGAGUGGCGCACGGGUGAGUAAUGUAUAGCUAAUCUGCCCUACACUAGAGGACAACAGCUGGUAACGACUGCUAAUACUCCAUAGUGUAGGAUGAGGGUAUAUUGUAUCAGCUAGUUGGUGAGGUAAUGGCUGACCAAGGCUAUGAAGCAUAACUGGUGUGAGAGGAUGAUCAGUAAACCUGGAAGUGAGACACCGUCCAGACUCCUACGGGAGGGAGCAGUAGGGAAUAUUGCUCAAUGGGGGAAACCCUGAAGCAGCAACGGCGCGUGGAGGAUGACACUUUUCGGAGAGUAAACUCCUUUUAUUAGGGAAGCGGUACCUAACGAAUAAGCACCGGCUAACUCCGUGCCAGCAGCCGCGGUAAUAC